Molecule: non-coding RNA, 24 nt
Filed under: Arabidopsis thaliana (thale cress)
Lineage: Eukaryota; Viridiplantae; Streptophyta; Magnoliopsida; Brassicales; Brassicaceae
Source: RNAcentral
GAUCGUCUACAGCUAUAACUGCGA